Molecule: transfer RNA, 72 nt
Filed under: Hacelia attenuata
Lineage: Eukaryota; Metazoa; Echinodermata; Asteroidea; Valvatida; Ophidiasteridae
Description: tRNA-Pro
Rfam family: tRNA
About the family: Transfer RNA (tRNA) molecules are approximately 80 nucleotides in length. Their secondary structure includes four short double-helical elements and three loops (D, anti-codon, and T loops).
Source: RNAcentral
CAGGAAAUAGUUUAAUAGAAGAAUAGUAACUUUGGGAGUUACUGGUAUAAGUCUAAAGUCUUGUUUUCCUGA